CAGCCUUGAUGACCAUCAGCUUAUUUUCUGUGUGACUUUCUCAACUAAUGGCCAACAUUGAGCAGUAGUCAAUUUUUUUGAAUCCAGAGGCAUCCCUAGAUAUUUAAAGGGAAGUCUGCCUUCAGGGAAACCAAGUUCCUGUAAGAUCUCCUCCUUCUGCCAUUUUGAUACACCUGCUAUGUACACAGCACUUUUGUCAGCAUUUGCUUGAAGUCUAGAAGCUUUGGAGAAGUUCUGGAAAGCC
This 244-nucleotide long non-coding RNA is filed under the name Nicotiana benthamiana. RNAcentral's name for it is "long non-coding RNA (NBEN_LNC013001)". The record is from RNAcentral. Lineage: Eukaryota; Viridiplantae; Streptophyta; Magnoliopsida; Solanales; Solanaceae.